Molecule: ribosomal RNA, 397 nt
Filed under: uncultured bacterium
Lineage: Bacteria
Description: partial 16S ribosomal RNA
Rfam family: Bacterial small subunit ribosomal RNA
Source: RNAcentral
AUACGUAGGUGACAAGCGUUAUCCGGAUUUACUGGGCGUAAAGGGCGUGUAGGCGGUCUUGCAAGUCAGAAGUGAAAUUCCUGAGCUCAACUCGGGCGCUGCUUCUGAAACUGCAGGACUUGAGUGCUGGAGGGGAUAGCGGAAUUCCUAGUGGAGCGGUAAAAUGCGCAGAUAUUAGGAAGAACACCGGUGGCGAAGGCGGCUAUCUGGACAAUAACUGACGCUGAGGCGCGAAAGCGUGGGGAGCAAACAGGAUUAGAUCCCCUGGUAGUCCACGCCGUAAACGAUGAAUACUAGGUGUAGGGGGUAUCGACUCCCUCUGUGCCGCAGUUAACACAAUAAGUAUUCCGCCUGGGGAGUACGGCCGCAAGGUUGAAACUUAAAGGAAUUGACGGGG